RNAcentral lists this ribosomal RNA (250 nucleotides) under uncultured bacterium. RNAcentral describes it as "partial 16S ribosomal RNA". It matches the Rfam family "Bacterial small subunit ribosomal RNA", at positions 525 to 774 of the family's 1533-position model. The record is from RNAcentral.
ACGGGGGGGGCAAGCGUUGUUCGGAAUUACUGGGCGUAAAGGGCGCGUAGGCGGCCUGCUAAGUCAGACGUGAAAUCCCCCGGCUCAACCGGGGAACUGCGUCUGAUACUGACAGGCUCGAAUCCGGGAGAGGGAUGUGGAAUUCCAGGUGUAGCGGUGAAAUGCGUAGAGAUGUGGAGGAACACCAGUGGCGAAGGCGACUUUCUGGACUGUAACUGACGCUGAUGCACGAAAGCGUGGGGAGCAAACA